GCCUUCGUGGUAUAACGGUAGCACAGUCGGCUUGUGUUCGAGAGUUCCAGAUUUGAGUCCCGGCAAGGGCA
This 71-nucleotide transfer RNA is filed under the name Stegodyphus mimosarum. It matches the Rfam family "tRNA". From Rfam's summary of the family: Transfer RNA (tRNA) molecules are approximately 80 nucleotides in length. Their secondary structure includes four short double-helical elements and three loops (D, anti-codon, and T loops). The record is from Rfam by way of RNAcentral. Lineage: Eukaryota; Metazoa; Arthropoda; Arachnida; Araneae; Eresidae.